RNAcentral lists this ribosomal RNA (2902 nucleotides) under Escherichia coli. RNAcentral's name for it is "23S ribosomal RNA". It matches the Rfam family "Bacterial large subunit ribosomal RNA". The record is from RNAcentral. Lineage: Bacteria; Pseudomonadati; Pseudomonadota; Gammaproteobacteria; Enterobacterales; Enterobacteriaceae.
UUAAGCGACUAAGCGUACACGGUGGAUGCCCUGGCAGUCAGAGGCGAUGAAGGACGUGCUAAUCUGCGAUAAGCGUCGGUAAGGUGAUAUGAACCGUUAUAACCGGCGAUUUCCGAAUGGGGAAACCCAGUGUGAUUCGUCACACUAUCAUUAACUGAAUCCAUAGGUUAAUGAGGCGAACCGGGGGAACUGAAACAUCUAAGUACCCCGAGGAAAAGAAAUCAACCGAGAUUCCCCCAGUAGCGGCGAGCGAACGGGGAGGAGCCCAGAGCCUGAAUCAGUGUGUGUGUUAGUGGAAGCGUCUGGAAAGGCGCGCGAUACAGGGUGACAGCCCCGUACACAAAAAUGCACAUACUGUGAGCUCGAUGAGUAGGGCGGGACACGUGGUAUCCUGUCUGAAUAUGGGGGGACCAUCCUCCAAGGCUAAAUACUCCUGACUGACCGAUAGUGAACCAGUACCGUGAGGGAAAGGCGAAAAGAACCCCGGCGAGGGGAGUGAAAAAGAACCUGAAACCGUGUACGUACAAGCAGUGGGAGCACAGAGCAAUCUGUGUGACUGCGUACCUUUUGUAUAAUGGGUCAGCGACUUAUAUUCUGUAGCAAGGUUAACCGAAUAGGGGAGCCGAAGGGAAACCGAGUCUUAACCGGGCGUUAAGUUGCAGGGUAUAGACCCGAAACCCGGUGAUCUAGCCAUGGGCAGGUUGAAGGUUGGGUAACACUAACUGGAGGACCGAACCGACUAAUGUUGAAAAAUUAGCGGAUGACUUGUGGCUGGGGGUGAAAGGCCAAUCAAACCGGGAGAUAGCUGGUUCUCCCCGAAAGCUAUUUAGGUAGCGCCUCGUGAAUUCAUCUCCGGGGGUAGAGCACGGUUGCGGCAAGGGGGGUAUCCCGACUUACCAACCCGAUGCAAACUGCGAAUACCGGAGAAUGUUAUCACGGGAGACACACGGCGGGUGCUAACGUCCGUCGUGAAGAGGGAAACAACCCAGACCGCCAGCUAAGGUCCCAAAGUCAUGGUUAAGUGGGAAACGAUGUGGGAAGGCCCAGACAGCCAGGAUGUUGGCUUAGAAGCAGCCAUCAUUUAAAGAAAGCGUAAUAGCUCACUGGUCGAGUCGGCCUGCGCGGAAGAUGUAACGGGGCUAAACCAUGCACCGAAGCUGCGGCAGCGACACUGUGUGUUGUUGGGUAGGGGAGCGUUCUGUAAGCCUGUGAAGGUGUGCUGUGAGGCAUGCUGGAGGUAUCAGAAGUGCGAAUGCUGACAUAAGUAACGAUAAAGCGGGUGAAAAGCCCGCUCGCCGGAAGACCAAGGGUUCCUGUCCAACGUUAAUCGGGGCAGGGUGAGUCGACCCCUAAGGCGAGGCCGAAAGGCGUAGUCGAUGGGAAACAGGUUAAUAUUCCUGUACUUGGUGUUACUGCGAAGGGGGGACGGAGAAGGCUAUGUUGGCCGGGCGACGGUUGUCCCGGUUUAAGCGUGUAGGCUGGUUUUCCAGGCAAAUCCGGAAAAUCAAGGCUGAGGCGUGAUGACGAGGCACUACGGUGCUGAAGCAACAAAUGCCCUGCUUCCAGGAAAAGCCUCUAAGCAUCAGGUAACAUCAAAUCGUACCCCAAACCGACACAGGUGGUCAGGUAGAGAAUACCAAGGCGCUUGAGAGAACUCGGGUGAAGGAACUAGGCAAAAUGGUGCCGUAACUUCGGGAGAAGGCACGCUGAUAUGUAGGUGAAGUCCCUCGCGGAUGGAGCUGAAAUCAGUCGAAGAUACCAGCUGGCUGCAACUGUUUAUUAAAAACACAGCACUGUGCAAACACGAAAGUGGACGUAUACGGUGUGACGCCUGCCCGGUGCCGGAAGGUUAAUUGAUGGGGUCAGCGCAAGCGAAGCUCUUGAUCGAAGCCCCGGUAAACGGCGGCCGUAACUAUAACGGUCCUAAGGUAGCGAAAUUCCUUGUCGGGUAAGUUCCGACCUGCACGAAUGGCGUAAUGAUGGCCAGGCUGUCUCCACCCGAGACUCAGUGAAAUUGAACUCGCUGUGAAGAUGCAGUGUACCCGCGGCAAGACGGAAAGACCCCGUGAACCUUUACUAUAGCUUGACACUGAACAUUGAGCCUUGAUGUGUAGGAUAGGUGGGAGGCUUUGAAGUGUGGACGCCAGUCUGCAUGGAGCCGACCUUGAAAUACCACCCUUUAAUGUUUGAUGUUCUAACGUGGACCCGUGAUCCGGGUUGCGGACAGUGUCUGGUGGGUAGUUUGACUGGGGCGGUCUCCUCCUAAAGAGUAACGGAGGAGCACGAAGGUUGGCUAAUCUUGGUCGGACAUCAGGAGGUUAGUGCAAUGGCAUAAGCCAGCUUGACUGCGAGCGUGACGGCGCGAGCAGGUGCGAAAGCAGGUCAUAGUGAUCCGGUGGUUCUGAAUGGAAGGGCCAUCGCUCAACGGAUAAAAGGUACUCCGGGGAUAACAGGCUGAUACCGCCCAAGAGUUCAUAUCGACGGCGGUGUUUGGCACCUCGAUGUCGGCUCAUCACAUCCUGGGGCUGAAGUAGGUCCCAAGGGUAUGGCUGUUCGCCAUUUAAAGUGGUACGCGAGCUGGGUUUAGAACGUCGUGAGACAGUUCGGUCCCUAUCUGCCGUGGGCGCUGGAGAACUGAGGGGGGCUGCUCCUAGUACGAGAGGACCGGAGUGGACGCAUCACUGGUGUUCGGGUUGUCAUGCCAAUGGCACUGCCCGGUAGCUAAAUGCGGAAGAGAUAAGUGCUGAAAGCAUCUAAGCACGAAACUUGCCCCGAGAUGAGUUCUCCCUGACCCUUUAAGGGUCCUGAAGGAACGUUGAAGACGACGACGUUGAUAGGCCGGGUGUGUAAGCGCAGCGAUGCGUUGAGCUAACCGGUACUAAUGAACCGUGAGGCUUAACCU